Molecule: transfer RNA, 89 nt
Filed under: Selaginella remotifolia
Lineage: Eukaryota; Viridiplantae; Streptophyta; Lycopodiopsida; Selaginellales; Selaginellaceae
Description: tRNA-Leu
Rfam family: tRNA
About the family: Transfer RNA (tRNA) molecules are approximately 80 nucleotides in length. Their secondary structure includes four short double-helical elements and three loops (D, anti-codon, and T loops). Further hydrogen bonds mediate the characteristic L-shaped molecular structure. tRNAs have two regions of fundamental functional importance: the anti-codon, which is responsible for specific mRNA codon recognition, and the 3' end, to which the tRNAs corresponding amino acid is attached (by aminoacyl-tRNA synthetases). tRNAs cope with the degeneracy of the genetic code in two manners: having more than one tRNA (with a specific anti-codon) for a particular amino acid; and 'wobble' base-pairing, i.e. permitting non-standard base-pairing at the 3rd anti-codon position.
Source: RNAcentral
GCCUUGGUGGUGGAACGGUAGACACGCGAGACUCAUCAACAUAUCGUGUGCUCACGAGCGUCGUGGAGGUUCGAAUCCUCUCAAAGGCA